Molecule: ribosomal RNA, 368 nt
Filed under: uncultured Actinomycetes bacterium
Lineage: Bacteria; Bacillati; Actinomycetota; Actinomycetes
Description: bacterial SSU rRNA
Rfam family: Bacterial small subunit ribosomal RNA
Source: RNAcentral
GACGGGUAGCCGGCCUGAGAGGGUGACCGGCCACAUUGGGACUGAGAUACGGCCCAGACUCCUACGGGAGGCAGCAGUGGGGAAUAUUGCACAAUGGGCGGAAGCCUGAUGCAGCAACGCCGCGUGCGGGAUGACGGCCUUCGGGUUGUAAACCGCUUUCGCCUGUGACGAAGCGUGAGUGACGGUAAUGGGUAAAGAAGCACCGGCUAACUACGUGCCAGCAGCCGCGGUGAUACGUAGGGUGCGAGCGUUGUCCGGAUUUAUUGGGCGUAAAGGGCUCGUAGGUGGUUGAUCGCGUCGGAAGUGUAAUCUUGGGGCUUAACCCUGAGCGUGCUUUCGAUACGGGUUGACUUGAGGAAGGUAGGGGA